AGCUAACCCAACUACUGCAGCAUGAGUUCUAGCCCCGGGGUCAAGUUAAAGAGCCAAGGCAGAGCUGACCUGGCCUUGAGAAGAUACUGCAUCAGCAACAACAAAAAGUUGUCUCACAGUAUAUCAGUAUUCUCAAAGGAAAGACUUCAAAGUUUAUGGCCUUGCUAAAACUCUGUGUCCAGACUCUAAGGCCCAAAAGGGAUAAGCAGUGUACUUCAUCAAUCUGCCUGUUCUGCACCCC
Condylura cristata (star-nosed mole) is the source of this 241-nucleotide long non-coding RNA. RefSeq lists it as uncharacterized. The record is from RefSeq and is a predicted model, not a curated record. The transcript has 3 exons. Lineage: Eukaryota; Metazoa; Chordata; Mammalia; Eulipotyphla; Talpidae.